CGGGGGGGGCAAGCGUUGUUCGGAAUUACUGGGCGUAAAGGGCUCGUAGGCGGCCAACUAAGUCAGACGUGAAAUCCCUCGGCUUAACCGGGGAACUGCGUCUGAUACUGGAUGGCUAGAGGUUGGGAGAGGGAUGCGGAAUUCCAGGUGUAGCGGUGAAAUGCGUAGAUAUCUGGAGGAACACCGGUGGCGAAGGCGGCAUCCUGGACCAAUUCUGACGCUGAGGAGCGAAAGCCAGGGGAGCAAACGGG
This 251-nucleotide ribosomal RNA is filed under the name uncultured bacterium. Its description in RNAcentral is "partial 16S ribosomal RNA". It matches the Rfam family "Bacterial small subunit ribosomal RNA", at positions 526 to 776 of the family's 1533-position model. The record is from RNAcentral.